Molecule: long non-coding RNA, 559 nt
Filed under: Zostera marina
Lineage: Eukaryota; Viridiplantae; Streptophyta; Magnoliopsida; Alismatales; Zosteraceae
Description: long non-coding RNA (ZMAR_LNC001859)
Source: RNAcentral
CUAACAAAAAUUAAAUCGAACAUUAAAAGAUUGAUUGCCAAACAUUACACAAAACCAUAACAUUAACAGGUUAUUGAAACAGUGGUUAAAACUUACCUAUGACCAAUGAAAAUGCUUCUACUGUAAGUGGUUUCUCAGGUAAACCUACCAAAACCAUCUUGCCAUGUGGCUUUAAAAGCGCAAGGAGUGGUGGAAUUGGGUGAUCACCUGAGACUGUGUCAAUUAUACCAUCCAUUGUCCACAUUGCCUCCUGUAUUUGGUAUCAAACCAGAGCAUUUCAUUUCUUCAGUUUAGUUUAUCAAUUUAUAUUCACAUUUUGACAUAAUUGUUAUGUUUAAUGUUGUUAAGUUAGAUUGGAUCUUGAUUCUUGGGAAAGAAAAGACCCGACAAAAUAUACCUUCAUCUUCUCAGCAUUUUUGCUGACUAGGAAAGAAUCAGCACCCAAAAGUGUGAUGGCUUCAGUUUCUUUGCUUGGAGAUGUGCUGAUCACUGUAACUUUCAAACCAAGGGCUUUUGCAAACUUUACAGCUACAUGCCCAAGGCCACCUAGACCAACCAC